This 4679-nucleotide long non-coding RNA is filed under the name Oreochromis niloticus (Nile tilapia). RNAcentral describes it as "lncRNA (ENSONIG00000028005.1)". Lineage: Eukaryota; Metazoa; Chordata; Actinopteri; Cichliformes; Cichlidae. The record is from RNAcentral.
UGGGUGAUUUUAACAUCCAUAUAGAUGCUAAAAAUGACAGCCUCAACAUUGCAUUUAAUCUCUUAUUAGACUCAAUUGGCUUCUCACACAUGUAUAUAUAUACACUGCUUUUUAUUUUAUUUUAUUUUAUUUUAUUUUAUUUUAUUCUAUUUAUUUUUUCCACCUAUUCUAUUAAACAUUCACACCAUUCUCUCACUCAUACAAGCAGCAAGCAGAUCUUCAUUGCAUACGCUUAUGUUCUCAGCCAGGUUUAUUCAAUAUCUCUAUGCAUUAAACUUCAUGAGCUUGUCUUUGUAAAGUCAGUGCAUUUUCUGUUUGUGUGUGUUAUUUUUGCAUCUAUGGCUUCGCAGUCUUUCAAACUCCUUCCCAAUUCUCCAGUUAAGCAGUCAGUUUUCUCUUUCCCGAAUUUACUAGCCCCAACUUUAAUUUCCCACCUAGAAUAACCGCCCUCCUGGUCUUCAGCCAGGUGUUAGGGCUUGCUUUUCAGGUUUCUGGACACAUCAUCCUGUGACCAAUUCAACCAGAAACUUGCCUUAACAUAUCCAUUGAUGUUAACCUAGAAUUUCCUUCCGACUGGUGCCGUGGAGAACUGGUCCGGGUCUGCUUUGCUCCUAAAAGUAACAAACUAAGACAUUUUCAUUAUUAUCACGAGUGGUCAAACGACCCACUUUUCUCUCUCUCCUGUCACAAAUACCAAUUAUGUCAUGUUUAUAUCAUGAAUAUGAAUGUAAGCAUUUUACUCGUUGCAUUUUCAUGUUAAUUGAGUGUAAGCUGCUUUCUUCGUUGCAUUUUUUAUGUAUUCAUGUUAAUGUACACUACGUGUAAGCUGUUUCUUCAUUGCAUCCUAUAUAUUCAUAUUUAACUUAUGCCUCUUUUCACUGAGCUUUAAGUUCAAACUAUCUCACUUCUAAUUCAUUUCAAAAAUAAUCUCACAUGUAACAAUUUGUGCAUGUGUGUUUUCUAUUCAUUAAGGUAGUGACAAUUAUUUUCUCUCAUUAUUCUUACCUUUUCUAAUGUUUACCUCUUUGUUAUGCUGUGUUGGACAUCCCUAAACCUUCAUGAGUUCAGGUUGCAAUUUUUCCGAUCCAAUUAUCCUAUAAUCUUACAGUCAAACUCGUCCAGCUUCAUCUCUCACUGGUCCCUCUCUGCACAAUGUCCUGUUCGGGCUUCAAAGCUCCAGCAAACACAGUCUCUUUCUUCUCUGAUUUGAUCUUUCCGUAUUCUUCUUCGAAGUUAAGUUCCCGUCCGGCUUUUCAGUCUUCUCUUCCAAAAUUACUCCAAGCAUGGCAAAUAUGACACUCAAUGUCCAGUGCUCUUCCACAAUUCUUUAUCCCACUGUUCAACUGUCCAGCCUGUAUUUUCACAGUACAUGUUGCAUUACUCUUACAUGCUGCUGCUGGUCGUCAGUCGUCAUCAGUGUUAAUGGAUCAGUGGCACUGUCAUUUGCCUGCUGUAUUCAAGUCCACGAUGUUCUGUCGGUCUCCAUCAGGAGGUUGACUUGUCCUUUGAACUUCUUCUCAGUUUAGGGACAAAGUGACCGAUGAAGCUGCACAAUUUCGAGCCAAAGACUGGCUUAUUCUCCCAAUUCUGUUAAUCUAUUGUUCUGCUGCUGCACUCAAGGAUCAGUGUUGAGAGAGUCCACCUGUAUUGGCACACUAAAGCAUACAAUUAGUAUUAUACUCAUUUCUUUUCUUAAAGGCUUCAUUUGCUUUAUGUGUCUAGAGGUAACUCAUCUAUCGCUCUGUGUUCUUCCUUUGCACAGUCAGUUCCCAUAUAUGGGCAUGCAAAGUUCCUGUUCACAGUUUCCUGUCGCACAGCCGCUGUACACAGAGUCAUACUUCCUGUUCUCGGCAGAGUCUGUCUCUUUUUGUAUUUCUAGUCUAAAACCCUCUUUAAUUCUACUAAAUCUUGAUCUAAAAAACAAUACACCUUCAUUUUCACUCACACACAUUUAAACAGAGCUCUUUCACACAUCCAAACAAUUAACCAAGUGUAUAUACUUAUGUGUUUUUGAACUGAGAGAAAAGAAACUCACCCUCUCAUAUCAUCACUCAUGCAUUUCUUGAAUUAAAAGCACUUUCAAACUUUAGAACAUCCUACUUUACAUCACAAAAGAAAUAUCCUUUUCAUACCAUUGUUUCAUACACACUUUUAAAGGUUCUAACCUCUUUCAGACGCCAUGAAUCGUCUCACACACACUGCCUUUUCUCUCACUCAGACAACUCACGCAGAGUCACUCAAAUCAAAUACUGACAGCAUUCACACAGUUAAAAUCACACGAAAUACGCUUCCAUACGAGUAUUUUAGACAUGCCUUCCAUGAUCAGAAAGAGCAAGUCAAAAGAAAAAGAAAAACUGAAACCUCUCAUCAUCCUCACGGCUUCUCACCACACACACCUAACUGAAAAAUAAAACACACCAGCAUUUAGGGCUCAAGAUAUAUACAUCUAUCAAAAUUCAGUCAUUACCAUACAUCCACACUAAUGUAUUAUUAAUUACUGUAUUUAUACUCUCGUAAUAAGCAACACCAACCUCUUAUAUACAGGCAUUCAGCAGUUUUUUUUUUUAAACAAUAGUUAAAAGGCUCCGUACACUCGAAACCGAAACCACCCUCUCUUCGCGUCACCGCUGCUCAUUUGCAUUUACACACACCAUCAGUGCACAUCCGGCUGUGCACUGACACACAGAGACUGAUCUCAUACAUAGAUCUCAUAUUAUUAUAUUUACACAAGACGUCUUAUUAAUUACCACUGCACAGAUUUAGGCCUUUAAAACCUAUAUAAUUUUGAUAAAUUUAACAUAACCGACUCGAACGGGCAAACUUCAGGUUUUUUGCGAUCAAUUCACCAGACCAGACUCGAACUGCUCUGUCCAGAUUUUCUAGCCCUAACUUAAUUUACCAGUAGCCAAAAAAGCGCAAGAAUAGGGGACUUGAACCCCUAGCAAUUUCGGAGUUUCCCAACUUCUCCCCCGCUGUCGACGGUACUAUCCCUACACUUCAGGGUAGGUCAUAGGUCAGCGUCCUGCCUAUGCGCAAGCGUUACCAAGGAGAAAAAUGCGCUUCUUAACAGACGCCGCUGUCGUUCUAGAAGAAUUUAGAGUAAUUUGAAACAACAAUCCUACCCAAAACAGGAUUAAGAUUGAGGCAGAUCUACCUUUGUGGACAUAGGGGACUCGAACCCACAAAAUGACCAUCACAAGAUAGACCCAAUGUCCAGCGGGACUUGAACCCACAAAAAUGACCAAAUUUCCCUACUUUCUACGUGAGACUUGAACUCACUUUAACUCUUUUCCUUUUCUUUGGGACUUGAACCCAGUACUUUUACUUAUCACUUAUCAUCAUCAUCAUCAUUCAUAUCAUUACUUCAACCGGUAAACCUCAUAAAAAUUUCAGCAAACUCAAAACAGACAUUCACCAGUAAUUUUCAGUGAGUAGACUUCAAUUUUGUCAUAUCCAAUUCUAGCACAUUUUGGAAAUUCAACAGGUAUGUGCCUUACCUCUGUUUAAGCCGGCUUGUCUCUCACUUCAGACCACUGACUCGUAUCUGCCCAUCUAAUCACCACGGACCCUGGAUCUCUCCAUCUACACCAAAAUUCCCUCUUUCCGAACUGAACUUACAACAAUUACACAAGGUUUUAUAUGGAUACAACAACAAAGCCCCCCUCUUUUGCAAAACAUACAAAGUACAGCUUACGUCACUUAAACCACAAAAUGUUCCGUGAACUUUAACAUAGUUUGAAGAACAUUACGUCUCAUCUCCAUCCCGGUGUUGCCCCAGGUACGCAUCCUUAUCUCUUCAAAACAUCAGGCGCACUUCCCGUAAGCAUCUGACAAUAUGCGGCAGAACUUGCACUUGCAGCCAAAAAUACAUCUUGACUUUUUACCUACUCUAGUCGAUCUACUAUGGUGUGUACGUGUGUGCGUGAGUGUGUGUGUGCCUGCUGUGUAGGCUAUGUCUGUGUCAUGACCUCAGCUCACCUCACACCUCUCGUCUUAGCCAGACAGAAGGCCUGUGCUCGUGCACAGCUGAACUCUGUGUGAUUUCUAGGCUAAAUGUCACACUCAAACCAUGAAGGAAACUUACUCAACCUGAACAUAAAUGAACUUAAGACUUACUCAAAAAGAUAUAAGUAAUAAAUGAUACAAACUUAACUCUUAGCUCUAAAGAAUAUAAGGAUAUAACUCCAGGCACCUGUUCUGUAAGCAGACAUGAAAUGGUAAUGAUGAUUAUAAAAAUAGCAGCAAAUAAUAGCAGUAAAAUAUUUCUAUUCCUGACAACUCUCAGGUUGGUAAUAAAUGUAUUACAUGUAUAAGAACAAGUGUCAUGUUAACAAAUGAUAGCCGUACAGUAACUUUUAUGCUUUUUGUAGCUGCUAGCUAAAAACACUAAUUUAGCUUAGUUUGCCCUGGAUUCAGCUUUGACAAACAAAUAUGAUCGCCUGUUUCUAGUAGAAAUCCAAAGUUGUCAUCUUGUACCGUCUCAGAGCCCUGUAUGCUUGCAGAGACCCCUACAGUAGGGAAACAUGCAAAACGGUGUCCAAACCUUUUUAUUUUAGCUUUAUUUAUGUCUUACACAGCAUCCCAACUCUUUAGCUAACUUAAUAACUUUAGCUAAAGAGAAUAGUUAGUCUAAUUCAUUAGUGCAGGAUUACUAGAUGACCUCUGUUUGAAGUAAUAUA